ACUCCUACGGGAGGCAGCAGUGGGGAAUAUUGGACAAUGGGGGGAAACCCUGAUGCAGCCAUGCCGCGUGUGUGAAGAAGGCCUUCGGGUUGUAAAGCACUUUCAGUAGGGAGGAAGGUAGUGUAGUUAACACCUGCAUUAUUUGACGUUACCUACAGAAGAAGCACCGGCUAACUCCGUGCCAGCAGCCGCGGUAAUACGGAGGGUGCAAGCGUUAUCCGGAUUUACUGGGUUUAAAGGGUGCGCAGGCGGUAAAGUAAGUCAGUGGUGAAAGCUCACAGCUCAACUGUGAAACUGCCAUUGAUACUGCUAUACUUGAGUUUGGGAGAGGUAGGCGGAAUACAUCGUGUAGCGGUGAAAUGCAUAGAUAUGAUGUAGAACACCGAUUGCGAAGGCAGCUUACUAAACCAAUACUGACGCUCAU
This 424-nucleotide ribosomal RNA is filed under the name uncultured bacterium. Its description in RNAcentral is "bacterial SSU rRNA". It matches the Rfam family "Bacterial small subunit ribosomal RNA", at positions 335 to 750 of the family's 1533-position model. The record is from RNAcentral.